Molecule: ribosomal RNA, 891 nt
Filed under: Pseudomonas sp.
Lineage: Bacteria; Pseudomonadati; Pseudomonadota; Gammaproteobacteria; Pseudomonadales; Pseudomonadaceae
Description: bacterial SSU rRNA
Rfam family: Bacterial small subunit ribosomal RNA
Source: RNAcentral
UACCUGCAAGUCGAGCGGAUGAAGGUAGCUUGCUACCUGAUUCAGCGGCGGACGGGUGAGUAAUGCCUAGGAAUCUGCCUGGUAGUGGGGGACAACGUUUCGAAAGGAACGCUAAUACCGCAUACGUCCUACGGGAGAAAGCAGGGGACCUUCGGGCCUUGCGCUAUCAGAUGAGCCUAGGUCGGAUUAGCUAGUUGGUGAGGUAACGGCUCACCAAGGCGACGAUCCGUAACUGGUCUGAGAGGAUGAUCAGUCACACUGGAACUGAGACACGGUCCAGACUCCUACGGGAGGCAGCAGUGGGGAAUAUUGGACAAUGGGCGAAAGCCUGAUCCAGCCAUGCCGCGUGUGUGAAGAAGGUCUUCGGAUUGUAAAGCACUUUAAGUUGGGAGGAAGGGUUGUAGAUUAAUACUCUGCAAUUUUGACGUUACCGACAGAAUAAGCACCGGCUAACUCUGUGCCAGCAGCCGCGGUAAUACAGAGGGUGCAAGCGUUAAUCGGAAUUACUGGGCGUAAAGCGCGCGUAGGUGGUUUGUUAAGUUGGAUGUGAAAGCCCCGGGCUCAACCUGGGAACUGCAUCCAAAACUGGCAAGCUAGAGUACGGUAGAGGGUGGUGGAAUUUCCUGUGUAGCGGUGAAAUGCGUAGAUAUAGGAAGGAACACCAGUGGCGAAGGCGACCACCUGGACUGAUACUGACACUGAGGUGCGAAAGCGUGGGGAGCAAACAGGAUUAGAUACCCUGGUAGUCCACGCCGUAAACGAUGUCAACUAGCCGUUGGAUUCCUUGAGGAUUUAGUGGCGCAGCUAACGCAUUAAGUUGACCGCCUGGGGAGUACGGCCGCAAGGUUAAAACUCAAAUGAAUUGACGGGGGCCCGCACAAGCGGUGGAGC